Long non-coding RNA from Triticum dicoccoides, 320 nucleotides. RefSeq lists it as uncharacterized. Lineage: Eukaryota; Viridiplantae; Streptophyta; Magnoliopsida; Poales; Poaceae. The record is from RefSeq and is a predicted model, not a curated record. The transcript is spliced from 3 exons.
UUUCGCUAUUUCCAUGGCAAAUCAAAUGACUAUGAUUUCGUAGCGCUGCAUCACGGCUCGAUUGCGUUGCAUGUUUCGGCGAAUGGGUGGUGGCCAGGUGGAGUGCCCUCUAGUCAGUUUUGCCAUGUGGAGGCUAUCCUAUGUUUGGUAAUAUCUCUUCAGCUGUACAGCUGCGCGUGAGAGGAAUCAGAUUUCAUUGACAUGGCAGAAGGCAAGCGCCGUCUGAAAACCUUGCAGAUGUUACAAACCCUUGUGAAUUCAUGCCGCAAAUCAUCUACUGAAGCAUCCACUAUGCGGAAAAUGAGUCUACUUUGGUGCUA